GUCAGACGCCGACAUUGGUACACCAAGUCGAGCUCAGCUCGGUGUCGGAGGCUUCAUGGCGGGGUCGAAAUUUAAAACCCCGGGGGCUCGACAGCGAAACUGUCUGCUAAAGUUUUUAAAGGUUAAGAGACACUGGGACGAUCGCGUCAAAUAACAGGAUUAGCUCGGAAAUUUAUCCAGAAAGAAAAAUCGGCGAGGGGGGCCGUGACCCAGAGAAGUUGUCCUAGACUGGAGGAAGAGGAAGACCAAGCUAUGCCAAAUCCUUCUUGGUGAUGAUGUGUCUGUGCCACGUGAUUGAUGUCUUCAGAUAUCCAACCUGCACACUGCCUGACGUCUAGCCCCCACAAGUCUGCAAAGUGGCAUGCCAACAUUGCUCAACUCAGCUGACUAAACACAAACUAUGGCCAUUGAUGAACAACAUAAACCUGACUAGAUGCAUCUUCUUGGAACCUGCAAACUAUGUACCACCUAACCAGCAACAGACUCAUCCACUAACGUCCCUCAAAGUGCUUAGGAGGCUCUUUCUUGCCAUCAGACUCACCACUACUCAACACAACACAAACUGGACACCCAUCUGGGGACCACAACAUUAUUGGGAGAAGGACAUUCUGUAACUGUAUUUGUGAUGAUUCUCUGAAGUGGGUAUUCAGCCCAUAGAUAAUGUACUAUGACUCCAUUUAAAAUCUGUAUUGGUAUCUGAAGUCCAUGUAUGCUCCUGUGUUGGAUAUCAAGUAAAAUCAUUGCUUA
This is a long non-coding RNA of Lates calcarifer (barramundi perch), 747 nucleotides long. RefSeq lists it as uncharacterized. Lineage: Eukaryota; Metazoa; Chordata; Actinopteri; Centropomidae. The record is from RefSeq and is a predicted model, not a curated record. The transcript has 3 exons.